RNAcentral lists this long non-coding RNA (1286 nucleotides) under Equus asinus (donkey). RNAcentral's name for it is "lncRNA (ENSEASG00005034578.1)". Lineage: Eukaryota; Metazoa; Chordata; Mammalia; Perissodactyla; Equidae. The record is from RNAcentral.
CUUCAUUCCCCAUAAAAGAAGGCUUAUUAGGCAUCUGCUGAUCAAGAUAUAGGAAAAGGCUUGUGGUGGUGGUGGUGGAGAACUCUGUGAGUUAAAAGACUGAAGAAUGCCGGUGUGCUUCUGCUGUGUGAUUCCCAGAAUCUGCAGACCUUAUACAAAUUCUUGGCCGGAAGCAACCCUCAGUCCCUGAAGGAAAAUUAGCUCUGAGCUAACAUCUGCUGCCCAUCCUGCUCUUUUUGUUGAGGAAGAUUGGCCCCGAGCUCACAUCCAUGCCCAUCUUCCUUUACUUUAUAUGUGGGACACCUGCCACAGCAUAGCUUGCAAAGUAGUGCACAGGUCCACACCCGGGAUCCAAACUGGCGAACCCUGGGCCACCAAAGAGGAACGUGCGAACUUAACCGCAGAGGCACCAGGCCGGCCCCUAUGACUGAUUUUUUUUUUAAACUAAAUCAGCUUUUAUACAUUUCUUAAAUUUUCCUUCAAAGUAUAAGGCAUGUAGGAAAAUCACUUGAACUACUCUGCUGUUGUCACCUUUAACCCUGUUUUGAUCCCAAAUUGUAUUUUGAAGUUGGGCCGUCUUCCCAUAUUCACCUGAGCAAAUUCAAUGUUAUUUUGUGGUGUUACAGAAAUUCAGAUUUACAUGCAGAAACUUUACUCAGAAACUAUCCAAAUAAGAGUCCCAGAAACGUUAGGGUUGUUAUUCAAAAGAACGUCAAAAUUCUGUGGAAAACGGAAGUAUUUAAGGCUAAAAUAAUCCACUGGUGAGAGUGGGAUGGGACAGAUGAAACAAGAUUGGUUAUAAUGCUGAUAAUCGUUGAAGCUAGGUCAUGAGUAUAUGGCGGUUCAUUAUACUUCUUUCCACUUUUGUCUAACUUUUACAUUUUCCCUUACUAAAUGUUAAAAAUAAAUUUUUUAAAAAAUCACAAGAACCAAAAGACUCUGUCAACUUCCUCGCAACUUUGGAGCAUUAGCCAGGAAGAAUAGAACUAAAUUUGAGCUGGUCCUGUAUCUAACUUGGCCACUUGAUAGUUGACCACUUUUACACUAAAUUUUUGUAUUGUUCUUAAAAUUUUCUGAGAGCAUUUUGAAUAUUAAGGGUACUAACAUUUGAGGUGUAUGCUACAAAUUUGUUUCUCAAUUUAUAAUUAUUUUUAUUUUAUCAAUGGAGCUUUGACAUGCAGAAAAUUUUAAUAUCUAUAACAUCAAAUAUGUCAUCUUUUUCAUUAUGACUUCUGAGGUCUUUUUUUUUAAUUAAGAAGCUUUUUCCUACUCCAAGCUUAUACAAA